Paramuricea clavata is the source of this 278-nucleotide non-coding RNA. The record is from the annotation of a GenBank genome assembly. NCBI's taxonomy places the organism in Eukaryota, Metazoa, Cnidaria, Anthozoa, Malacalcyonacea, Plexauridae.
UUCUAUUUAUUUCCUAUUCUAUGUAGAAUUAUGCAUUAACUUCUCUUGAAAACAAAUCAUGAAUCACAUAAUUCGGUUGUAUACUGCAAGAAGUGUGAGAAGCACCAUUUGAUUUCGAUUGAAGAGACCGUGCACACAUCCUAUAGUGUGGCAUGAAUUUAGUCUAAACAUUUUUUCAUCCUUUAUCACAAAAUCAGCUUCAUUUCUGUUGAGUUAUAGCAUUGUUUACUACUGUAUGAAUAUAAAUAUAAUGGUCCCCGCUCAUAGAAGAAUAUCCG